RNAcentral lists this ribosomal RNA (646 nucleotides) under Streptomyces ambofaciens. Its description in RNAcentral is "bacterial SSU rRNA". It matches the Rfam family "Bacterial small subunit ribosomal RNA", at positions 231 to 886 of the family's 1533-position model. Lineage: Bacteria; Bacillati; Actinomycetota; Actinomycetes; Kitasatosporales; Streptomycetaceae. The record is from RNAcentral.
UCGCGGCCUAUCAGCUUGUUGGUGAGGUAGUGGCUCACCAAGGCGACGACGGGUAGCCGGCCUGAGAGGGCGACCGGCCACACUGGGACUGAGACACGGCCCAGACUCCUACGGGAGGCAGCAGUGGGGAAUAUUGCACAAUGGGCGAAAGCCUGAUGCAGCGACGCCGCGUGAGGGAUGACGGCCUUCGGGUUGUAAACCUCUUUCAGCAGGGAAGAAGCGAAAGUGACGGUACCUGCAGAAGAAGCGCCGGCUAACUACGUGCCAGCAGCCGCGGUAAUACGUAGGGCGCAAGCGUUGUCCGGAAUUAUUGGGCGUAAAGAGCUCGUAGGCGGCUUGUCACGUCGGUUGUGAAAGCCCGGGGCUUAACCCCGGGUCUGCAGUCGAUACGGGCAGGCUAGAGUUCGGUAGGGGAGAUCGGAAUUCCUGGUGUAGCGGUGAAAUGCGCAGAUAUCAGGAGGAACACCGGUGGCGAAGGCGGAUCUCUGGGCCGAUACUGACGCUGAGGAGCGAAAGCGUGGGGAGCGAACAGGAUUAGAUACCCUGGUAGUCCACGCCGUAAACGGUGGGCACUAGGUGUGGGCAACAUUCCACGUUGUCCGUGCCGCAGCUAACGCAUUAAGUGCCCCGCCUGGGGGAGUACGGA